RNAcentral lists this ribosomal RNA (513 nucleotides) under uncultured bacterium. RNAcentral describes it as "partial 16S ribosomal RNA". It matches the Rfam family "Bacterial small subunit ribosomal RNA", at positions 28 to 523 of the family's 1533-position model. The record is from RNAcentral.
GACGAACGCUGGCGGCAUGCCUAAUACAUGCAAGUCGAGCGAACAGAUGAAGUGCUUGCGCUUCUGACGUUAGCGGCGAACGGGUGAGUAACACGUAAGGAAUCUACCUAUAAGCGGGGGAUAACAUUCGGAAACGGGUGCUAAUACCGCAUAAUAUCUUCUUCCGCAUGGAAGAAGAUUGAAAGACGGCUCUGCUGUCACUUAUAGAUGACCUUGCGGUGCAUUAGUUAGUUGGUGGGGUAAUGGCUUACCAAGACGAUGAUGCAUAGCCGACCGGAGAGGGUGAUCGGCCACAUUGGGAAUGAGACACGGCCCAAACUCCUACGGGAGGCAGCAGUAGGGAAUCUUCCGCAAUGGGCGAAAGCCUGACGGAGCAAUGCCGCGUGAGUGAAGAAGGCCUUCGGGUCGUAAAACUCUGUUAUAAGAGAAGAACAAAUUGUAGAGUAACUGCUACAGUCUUGACGGUAUCUUAUCAGAAAGCCACGGCUAACUACGUGCCAGCCGCCGCAGUAA